ACUCAAAGGAAUUGACGGGGGCCCGCACAAGCGGCGGAGCAUGCGGAUUAAUUCGAUGCAACGCGAAGAACCUUACCAAGGCUUGACAUCACCCGGAACUGCGCAGAGAUGUGUAGGUCUUCGGACUGGGUGACAGGUGGUGCAUGGUUGUCGUCAGCUCGUGUCGUGAGAUGUUGGGUUAAGUCCCGCAACGAGCGCAACCCUUGUCUCAUGUUGCCAGCACGUAAUGGUGGGGACUCAUGGGAGACUGCCGGGGUCAACUCGGAGGAAGGUGGGGAUGACGUCAAAUCAUCAUGCCCCUUAUGUCUUGGGCUUCACGCAUGCUACAAUGGCCGGUACAACGGGUUGCGAUAUCGUAAGGUGGAGCGAAUCCCUAAAAGCCGGUCUCAGUUCGGAUUGGGGUCUGCAACUCGACCCCAUGAAGUCGGAGUCGCUAGUAAUCGCAGAUCAGCAACGCUGCGGUGAAUACGUUCCCGGGCCUUGCACACACCGCCCGU
This 497-nucleotide ribosomal RNA is filed under the name uncultured bacterium. Its description in RNAcentral is "bacterial SSU rRNA". It matches the Rfam family "Bacterial small subunit ribosomal RNA", at positions 899 to 1397 of the family's 1533-position model. The record is from RNAcentral.